Molecule: ribosomal RNA, 392 nt
Filed under: uncultured bacterium
Lineage: Bacteria
Description: partial 16S ribosomal RNA
Rfam family: Bacterial small subunit ribosomal RNA
Source: RNAcentral
ACACGUAGGGGCCUGACGUUGUUCGGAAUCAUUGGGCGUAAAGGACGCGCAGGCGGCCGUCCAAGUCCGGUGUUAAAUGGUCGGGCUCAACCUGAUCAUGCGCUGGAAACUGGGCGGCUUGAGUCCCGUAGGGGAUGCCGGAAUUCCAGGUGUAGGGGUGAAAUCUGUAGAUAUCUGGAAGAACACCGAUGGCGAAGGCAGGCAUCUGGCCGGAGACUGACGCUGAGGCGCGAAGGCGCGGGGAGCGAACAGGUUUAGAUACCCUGGUAGUCCGCGCAGUAAACGAUGCGCACCAGGUGUCGGGCGGCAGCGCCCGGUACCGGAGCUAACGCGAUGAGUGCGCCGCCUGGGGAGUAUGCCCGCAAGGGUGAAACUCAAAUGAAUUGGCGGGG